This 465-nucleotide ribosomal RNA is filed under the name uncultured bacterium. RNAcentral describes it as "partial 16S ribosomal RNA". It matches the Rfam family "Bacterial small subunit ribosomal RNA", at positions 338 to 795 of the family's 1533-position model. The record is from RNAcentral.
CCUACGGGCGGCAGCAGUAGGGAAUCUUCCACAAUGGGCGAAAGCCUGAUGGAGCAACGCCGCGUGGGUGAAGAAGGUCUUCGGAUCGUAAAACCCUGUUGUUAGAGAAGAAAGUGCGUGAGAGUAACUGUUCACGUUUCGACGGUAUCUAACCAGAAAGCCACGGCUAACUACGUGCCAGCAGCCGCGGUAAUACGUAGGUGGCAAGCGUUAUCCGGAUUUAUUGGGCGUAAAGGGAACGCAGGCGGUCUUUUAACUCUGAUGUGAAAGCCUUCGGCUUAACCGGAGUAGUGCAUUGGAAACUGGGAGACUGGAGUGCAGAAGAGGAGAGUGGAACUCCAUGUGUAGCGGUGAAAUGCGUAGAUAUAUGGAAGAACACCAGUGGCGAAAGCGGCUCUCUGGUCUGUAACUGACGCUGAGGUUCGAAAGCGUGGGUAGCAAACAGGAUUAGAUACCCUAGUAGUC